GCCCCCACUCACAUGACGGCGCACUGGGCGAAGGACAGGUAGUUCACCAGCACGUCCAGCCCCUUGUUCUCGUCAUUGAGGAACUCGCGCACCCAUCUACAGCGGGACACGGUGCUCAGCGCCGGGGGCACCCCAAGGCCACCACCCCACAGCAUGACCCCAAAGCCAGGACCCCAAAACCAGGACCUCAAAGCCAGGACCCCAAAACCAAGACCCCAAAGCCAGGACCUCAAAGCCAGGACCCCAAAGCUAGGACUCUAAAACCAGGACCCCAAAACCAAGACCCCAAAACCAGGACCCCAAAACCAAGACCCCAAAGCCAGGACCUCAAAGCCAAGACCCCAAAGCUAGGACUCUAAAACCAGGACCCCAAAACCAGGACCCCAAAACCAGGACCCCAAAACCAGGACCCCAAAGUUAGGACCCCAAAACCAUGAUCCCAAAACCAGGACCCCAAUGCCAUGACUCAAACCCAUGAGCCCAAAGUCAUGAUCCCGGUGCCAGUACCGCAAAACCAGGACUCCAAAACCAGGACCCCAAAGCCAUGACCCCAAAACCAAGACCCCAAAACCAGGACUCCAAAACCAGGACCCCAAAGCCAGGACCCUACAAACCAGGACCCCAAAACCAGGACCCCAAAACCAGGACCCCAAAGCCAUGACCCCAAAGCCACGACCCCAAAGCCACGACCCCAAAGCCACGACCACAACACCAACAACCCUAAUGCCAAGACCCCAAAACCAGGACCCCAGCGCCACCCCCCCAAACCACGACCCCAAAGCCAGAAGCUCAAGGCCAUGACCCCAAAGUCACGACCCCGGCACAUUACCCCAACGCCGCGACCCGAACACCACGACCCCAAAGCCAGGACCCCAAAGCCACAACCUCUGCCCAUGGGGACAUUGGGACCGGCCCCACAAACGGGGGGAGGGCAGGUGGGGGCUCCCAGCCCCGGUGACAGUUGCAGCCCCCCACUAUCACCCCAUAGCAGCAGCACGGGGCGUUAUCUAUGGGGCGCAGGGAGGGAGCAGCACCACGUGGGAAACGGGGCCGCGCUCGGCAGCGGGAACCGGUGGCGAUGGGGUCUGUGUGGGGCAGGGGUGGGUGUGGGGUCGGCGUGGGGUGUGCAUGGGUGUAGGGUGCACGGGGUGUGCGUGGAUAUGGGGUGUGUGCAUGCAUGGGGUGCACGGGGUGCAUGGGGUGCAUGUGGAUAUGGGGUGUGUGCAUGCAUGGGGUGCAUGGGGUGCAUGCAUGGGGUGCAUACGGAUAUGGGGUGUGUGCAUGCACGGGAUGCAUGGGGUGUGCAUGGCUAUGGGGUGUGUGCAUGCACGGGGUGCGUGGGGUGCGCAUGCAUGGGGUGCGCGUGCAUGGGGUGCAUGGGGUGCAUGUGGAUAUGGGGUGUGUGCGUGCACAGGGUGCAUGGGGUGUGCAAGGCUAUGGGGUGUGUGCGUGCAUGGGGUGCAUGGGGUGCACGUGGAUAUGGGGUGUGUGCAUGCAUGGGGUGCAUGGGGUGUGCAUG
This 1519-nucleotide long non-coding RNA is filed under the name Numida meleagris (helmeted guineafowl). RNAcentral's name for it is "lncRNA (ENSNMEG00000001961.1)". Lineage: Eukaryota; Metazoa; Chordata; Aves; Galliformes; Numididae. The record is from RNAcentral.